Molecule: long non-coding RNA, 2941 nt
Filed under: Triticum aestivum (bread wheat)
Lineage: Eukaryota; Viridiplantae; Streptophyta; Magnoliopsida; Poales; Poaceae
Description: long non-coding RNA (TAES_LNC003538)
Source: RNAcentral
AUUAUGGCACAUGUAUUUAUGCAUCCCUCUGCUGGGUACCUGAAUGUUUACUCGUUUAUGUUUCGGUGCAAGUUUUAGUACGGCCUUUGCCCGAUUUGAUAAUGUCCUCCUUCCUAUAUCAUUCAAGAUUGAACAGUAAUUUGCAUGGCCAUGGUGAUUUGGUCCACAAGGUGGAAGAUUAGAUGUUGGCGACAAAUCAAGAAAGGGCUUCUUUCCGGAUCUGAUGUAAGGCUGCUUCCAGCCCUCCUACUAAUCUCCUAUAUUCCAUAAAUGGAGAGCUACCAACGCUUUUGUGUCUAAUGACUCCUUUGGUUCAGUGGCUUGUGUCUCAUUACUCCUUAGUUUAGUAUACCAAUAUAUAUGCUGCAUUUUCUGUCUUCCAUGGUUCAGUAAAUGUUAGUUAUUAUAUUAAGAAAUAAGAGAUAAUUAGUUUAAUCAUUCUUAGAUCUAUGUAGGUUAGAGGUCUCUUGAUCGUACCGAUAGAACUAGGCUGUAAAACGUUGGAUGUAAGAUAAGUGGGUUCAUGUACUAGUUUUGGGAUUUAUAUUAGCUUCAAGAGAACAUUUUAGCUCAAAGAAGACCAAGCGGACAUUAUAGAUUGUACUGAGAUGAGAAGCAACUCAGGUCUGUAGGUGCAGAAUCAGGAAGAAUUAUAAUGGAUUUUCCCAUUUGAAUUGGCUUUCAAUGAGUUAUUGGCAGAUAUAACUUUUGUCUUCUAAUAUUUCAGUUCAUAAAACAUAUAGGGUAACUAGUAUUACUUCUAUAGUUCAGUCCACUUUUACUCCUACAACCACACGCUACGCCACCGCAACACACGCACACACCCAGGACGGGAUACAAAGGCGCUGAGCGCAGCAACACUACUCCUAGCACUACUGCCCCGAAGAUAUGAAGCUACAUAUGACGAACCAUGCGCUCCAAGGCGGCGCCUUCAGGAAGGAAACGACGCCGGAGCACCGCCACCGCCCGAUCCAAGGAUCAAAGUUUCCCUCGGAGCUGCAUGACGGGCAAUGAGAGCUGCGACGACGCCUUCAAGAAGGGAGCGAUCUUCGCCGCCGCCGGUCCGUCCGAAGAUAGAGCAGGUUUUCACCUCGGCCAACAUUCACCGCCACCGAACGCCACACCCCGGCAACCACGCCGCCCACACGGCCAUGAUGAGCGGGCAGCACCAAGGCACGGGCUUUGUCCAAGAGCACCGUGCCACCACCACCACCAGGGCCGCCGCCCCAGCAUCCAAGACCUCAACACCACCUCACCCAUGACCCGACGCACCCCAACGAAAGAGACGAGCAGAAAGGUCCUACCUUUCGCGCCCCUGGGCAACCCCCAGCAUCGAGAACUAAUAGGUCAGCCAGAACCGGCAUCCAUCGAGCCAUCCUGCUACCCUAAGCGCGAGAUGAGCUUGGUCCUGCAGCAUCGUGCACGAGACGCCCGAUCCUGAAUCCAUUAGUUUAGAAUCUAUUACAUUUCUCAUUUAGGAUUUCAUGGUCCAGUGUUAAUUUUCAUUGCUCCAAACCAAGCAUUUGCAGUUGCUUGUUUUAGAGAUCCAAGUUCUGUGUCAGAUUUCGGCCGGCAAGGUAAAUCCUUCCAGCUGACGAAUAUUAUGGACUUACAAUCUGUGCAGUCGUCUCAUAGUUAUUACGACCCUACUUUUUUAUCGAAUUUUACUCCAUUCAGCCUCUUGUAUGUCCUUCAGAAAUACGGCGAGCUUGUUUGGGAGGUCAGGUCCACUUAUAAGCAUUUGUGCAUUAAAGGUUGAUAUUCUAAAGAUGCUCGUGCUGCGAUACAAUGUUGGCUUGUAAUGUGCCUAAUCUAUAUUAAUUAAUUUACUGACGCUGACUAAUCAAUGACUUGCUAAACAACUUUUCAUGUAUAAAUAAAAGAAAAAAUUGGCUCACUUGUGCAUCGUCUUCUGGAUGUAAGUGUUUUCUCUUAUUAUUUUUCAUCUUCACCAUGAUAUGCUCAUUGGUUUUCUUGAGAUAUUUGUUCAAGGGAAUCUUUUCAAAGGAUUGUACAUUUUUGACAAUUUUUUCAAAGAAUGACACCUUUUGUGAUAAUUUUCUCAUGUGAUAUAGGUUGUCUACGACUGUACGUUACAUUUAUAUGUGCAGUGUCUCCCCUUUAAUUGAUUGGUUCAGUUAUUCAGCUCUGUUUUUUGUGUAUCCCUUGUGUUGGAUGAUUUUUUUCCAUCGCCUCUUUGUUCCUAUGUGAUUUAAAUAUGUUCAUAGUUGACAUUCACCAAAAAAUUGUAGAUGUCAGAGAUAAUGUGGGGGUCAAAGCACGGGCUAGCGAGAGCUUUAUCUACAACAGAACAGCUAUUGAAUGGUUGAACUUUCCUCCAUGAUAUUUCUUUAAUACGCCACCUCUCAAUUUUAUGAAAACAAGAGUUGACGUGAUUGUACAUUGACCACAUUUUAUUUCUAUAUCCUUGGCUCCUUGCACAUUGUUCGUAUAAAUUAUUAAAUUCCCAAGAAUCCAUUUUGUUCCGAAUAGCGAAUUCACAAUCUUUUUCUUGGUUGUCCCAUAGCGAUGCUACUACGAAUCAUAUCGUGUUGCAAUGUUUGCAAUUUGUAUUAAAGCAUCUGUCAGUUGAACUAACAAGGAUGCAGCCACAUUUGCAGGCAUAUACACUGAUGUAGAAGGAUGCAGAGAUGGGCACAACAAUGGAGCUAAUGCUUCUAUGAACAUGGUCAAUCCCUAAGAGCAAUUUUGUUACAACAGCUGGAUUCUGCUAAUACUGGAGGUGUCAACCUAAAUGCACAUAUAUGAAACUGAACGACAGUAGUCAAACACCAUUUUAUCUACAUUGUGUAAUUUUCCACAUAGAUUAAUUACAAUAUUUAUUCUAUGGACAUGAGGCCACGAUUUGUAUCAUUUGGUUACAGUUGUUAUGUUGUGUGAUUUUUCAGUGAUCAAUAUAAUGCUAUCUGCACAACUUAAA